RNAcentral lists this ribosomal RNA (539 nucleotides) under uncultured Geobacteraceae bacterium. Its description in RNAcentral is "bacterial SSU rRNA". It matches the Rfam family "Bacterial small subunit ribosomal RNA", at positions 9 to 526 of the family's 1533-position model. The record is from RNAcentral. Lineage: Bacteria; Pseudomonadati; Thermodesulfobacteriota; Desulfuromonadia; Geobacterales; Geobacteraceae.
GAGUUUGAUCCUGGCUCAGAACGAACGCUGGCGGCGUGCUUAACACAUGCAAGUCGAACGUGAUUGGAAGCUUGCUUCCAUGAAAGUGGCGCACGGGUGAGUAACGCGUGGAUAACCUGCCCUGGUAUCCGGAAUAACAUCUCGAAAGGGGUGCUAAUACCGGAUAAGCCUACGGAGCCCUCGGUCUCUGCAGGAAAAGGUGGCCUCUAUUUAUAAGCUACCGUAUCAGGAUGGGUCCGCGUACCAUUAGCUAGUUGGUGGGGUAAAGGCUCACCAAGGCGACGAUCCGUAGCUGGUCUGAGAGGACGACCAGCCACACUGGAACUGAGACACGGUCCAGACUCCUACGGGAGGCAGCAGUGGGGAAUUUUGGACAAUGGGCGCCAGCCUGAUCCAGCCAUGCCGCGUGAGUGAAGAAGGCCUUCGGGUUGUAAAGCUCUUUCAGCCGGAAAGAAAUUGCUUCUAUUAAUACUAGGAGUAGAUGACGGUACCGGAAGAAGAAGCGCCGGCUAACUACGUGCCAGCAGCCGCGGUAAUAC